Homo sapiens (human) is the source of this 4448-nucleotide long non-coding RNA. RefSeq lists it as uncharacterized. The record is from RefSeq and is a predicted model, not a curated record. The transcript is spliced from 2 exons. NCBI's taxonomy places the organism in Eukaryota, Metazoa, Chordata, Mammalia, Primates, Hominidae.
AUGGAGGACUAGGUAAGCAUACUUAGAGUCUGUAUAUAUAUUUACCCUUUUUCCUUCUCCCAAUUCUAGUGCCCGAGUGAGGGCUAUUAGUUCUGCCAGCUGAGCACUAGUUCCUGGAGUGAGGGGAUUACUUUCAAGUAUUCUGUUAUCACUGACCACCGCAUAGCCCACUUUUCGAAGUCCUUUUUCUACAAGGGAACUUCCAUCAGUAUACAAGUUGAGGUUGGGAUCAGUCAAGGGAACCUCUAAAAGGUCCCCUCGAGCAGCACAGGUUUGAGGAAUUACUUGUUGACAGUUAUGUUCUAUCUUUUCUUCAUUGUCUGGAAGAAAUGUGGCUGGGUUAACAGUACUGGCCCUUCAAGUAAUAGAGCCUGAUAGUUAAGUAAACAGUUGUCUGACAGCCACAAGUCUUCUUUAGCAGUGAGUAUGUCAUUCACGUCAUGAGAUGUCCAUACAGUAAGAUCUCUUCCCUGUAUUAUUUUAACUGCUUCAGACACUAAUACUGCUACUGCCGCCACUACCCAUAAACAAUGAGGCCAACCCUUUGCCACUACAUCAAUUUCCUUAUUCAGGUAUGCCAUGGGUUGCAAGCUCAUCCCUCGGACCUGUGUAAGGACUCCUAGAGCGAUUCCUGUUUUUUCUGUGGCAUAUAAAGAAAAAUCUUGCCCUGUUGGCAAGCUGAACACUGGGGCUUGGGUUAGGGCCUUCUUUAGGGCCUGGAAAGCCACUUCUGUUUAGGUGUCCAUCUUACUAAAUAGGUAUUGGCUUUCUGAGUUUCCUUAAUUAGUGUAUAUAAUGGUCUGGCUAUUUUGCUGUACCUGGGAAUCUGUUUUCGGCAGAAACCUGUUAUGCCAAGGAACCCUCUUAGUUGCUUUAGGGUUUUGGGAUGAGGAUAAGCCAGUAUAGGCUGGAUACGUUCCUCACUGAGGGCCCUGGUGCCUUUGGAUAAUUUUAGCCCUCAGUAUCUAAUCUGCUGUGAGCAGAGCCGAGCCUUUGGUUUGGAAACCUUGUAGCCACAGGUAGUGAGGAAAUUUAAGAGUUCUUGGGUGGCUUGAUGGCACAAGGUUUCUGAACGGGCGACUAAAAGUAAAUCAUCCAUGUACUGAAGGACAAGAGUGUCCAGGUAUGAGAAUUGGCUCAAGUCUUGGGCUAAUGCCUGGCCAAAUAGAUGGGGGCUAUCCCUGAACCCUUGGGGUAAAACAGUCCAGGUGAGUUGACAGGUUGUGUUUGAAGGAUCUUCAAAGGCAAACAAGAAUUGAGAGUCAGGAUGUACAGGGAUGCAGAAAAAGGCAUUCUUAAGGUCCAGGACUGUAAACCACUCUGCUUCCUCUGGUAUUUGGGAAAGCAGAGUAUAAGGGUUAGGUACAGCUGGGUAUAGAGGGACAAUGGCCUCAUUGAUAAUCCUGAGCUCUUGUGCAAACCUCCACUGUCUGUUGGGUUUCUCUACUCCUAAAAUUGGAGUAUUGCAGGGGCUAUUGCAUGGUUUUACUAGGCCUUGGGCUUUUAGGUCCUUAACAAUCUUUUGGAGUCCUUGUUGGGCCUCAGGUCUAAGGGAGUACUGCCUUUGGUAGGGAAAGGAGGCGGAAUCCUUUAGUUUAACUAGAACAGGAUGGGCAUUCUUUGCUCGUCCAUAUUGUCCUUCUGUUGCCCAGACUUCAGGAUUAAUUCCUUCCUCAAGCAGGGACAACAAAUGGGUGUUCCUUCUCCUAUGUUCAGGUGUAUAAUGGCCCCUGCUUUUGCUAGAAUGUCUUUCCCUAACAAGGGAGUGGAGCUUUCAGGCAUAAUUGGAAAAGCAUGAGAAAAGAGUAAAGUUCCCCAGGCACAACUUAGUGGCUGGGAGAAGUAUCUAAUGACUGGCUGUCCUAGGACCCCUCGGAGAGUGACAGAUCUGGAGGACAGUUGUCCGGGACAGGAGAGUAAGACUGAGAAGGCCGCGCCAGUGUCCAGGAGACAGUUAACCUCCUGGCCCUCAAUGGUCAAGCAUACCCGAGGCUCUGUGAGGGUAAUGGCAUGGGCUGGUGCUUGCCCCGGUACCCUCAGUCCUGCUGCUGGAUCAUCUGGUUAGUGGCUUCUGACUCAGAGGACCUUCAUCCCCUGGGGCAGUGGGCCUUCUAGUGAUUCCCUUGACAUAAUGGUGGACGAGGAGGCAGCUUAUUUCUACUUGGAUGAUCUUUUUUAACGUGUGCUUGUAGACCGCACUGGAAGCAAGCCCUGUUAGGCAUUCGAUUUUCCCAGCUUUUCCUUUUCCAGAGCCUCCAAAGUCCACUUGCCUGAGGGCCAUGACUAAAGCAGUGGCCUUUUUAAAUCCCGUUUGUCCUGUUCCGCCUGCUCCUCCUGAUCUCUAUUAUAAAAAACCAAGGUUGCCAAGUUCAAUAGGGUUUCUAAGUUUUGCUCUGGGCCUAAGGCGGACUUUUGAAGUUUUUUUCUAAUGUCUGCAGCUGACUGAGUGAUAAACUUAUCCUUUAAGAUUAGUUGGCCUUCAAUAGAGUCAGGUGACAGAGAGGUAUGCUUCCUCAAUGCCUCCCUUAGUCUCUCCAGAAAAGCAGUAGGAUUUUCUUCCUUUCCCUGUGUUAUAGUGGACAUCAUUGAAAAAUUUGUAGGCUUCUUCCUGGUUUUCCUUAGUCCUUCCAGCACACAAGUUAGCAAAUGUCUGCAGCACCAAUCUCCAUGUUCUGAUUCUGCGUCCCAGUGAGGGUCUACACUGGGAACUGCCUGCUGGCCUGUGGGGAAUCAUUCUCUUUCCUCUGUUAUCAUCCUAUCAUUGACCUGACUGAGAUACCAGAGAUCGCCAAACUCUCAGGCUGCAGUUAUGGUGGCACUUCUCUCAUUUGGGGUUAACGUCUGAUUUAGCAGUAACAUUAUAUCUCUCCAUAUCAGAUCGAAGGAUUGUCCUAACCCCUGUAAAACAUCAAUAUAGCCAUCAGGGUUAUCUGAGGAUUUACCUAGGUCUAUUUUAAUUUGCUUUAAGUCCGAGAGAGAAAAAGGUACAUGCACUCUGGCUGGGAUGAAUUCUCCUCCUCUCACUGCUUGGAGGGGGCAUAAUCGGGGAAUAUUGGCACCUUUGAUUCAUUGUUUACCCCUUUGUCUAUCUCCUUUUGGACCGUUUGGGUUCAAGGGGGGUCCUUAUUAGUUGGGGGAGGAGUUGGGGGGAUGGUGGGGUAGGGAGGUAGACUCUGAAGGCUUCUUGUAGGGCAUAAAUCACACUUUUUACAUAAUUGCGAGUUGUCUCUUAAUGAAAAGAAAGUUUGUACAUAUGGCACUUCACUCCAGUUGCCUUCUUUUUUACAAAAGAGUUCUAGCUGUAAGAUGGUGUUAUAAUUUAUACUUCCCUCCAGAGGCCAGGUUUCUCCCCCUUGAAGAGGAUAUCGUGGCCAGGCGGUACUGCAGAAGAAAAUGAGUCAUUUCUUUCUUAGCAUCUGAGGGUCAAAUUGGUCCCAAUUCUCCAGAAUACAUCUUAGGGGCAUUUUUGCCUUGGGCGGAACAUUUCCUAUCUGAAAAAAGAACUGAGGGAUGCCAGCACCCCUAGUCAUUUUCCGAUGUGCAUUAAUCUUAGAGUGUCCGCUGUGGUCCUAAUGCUUAUUCCUUUCCAGGGUGCGUAACCACCCAUGGACCUCGGCUUAUCGGAUUAGUUAUGCUCACCGAAGUAGCAGUCUUGCACCCUUUUCCUGCCUUUCUUGACCACAAAGAAAGGGGUCCAGGCUGCUGGAUUCUAGUGGUCCUUUACCAGCGUACCCAACAUUGCCUUUGUGCUCAGGGGUGAGUCCUAGAGCUGGGCUGGGUUCCUGAGUAUUUCAUAACAACCCAGCUUCCCCAUCAAGAUGCAUUCCCAUAAACAACAGUUCUUAUGCAAAUUCAUUUCAGAGAGGGUGUAGGUAACCUUUUGAGUCAGGAUUGAGAUAGUCUUUUUUGAUUCUGUGAGUACUUUAAGGCUUGGCUGAGUGCAAACGGCUCGCACGUUUGAGGAGACCAAUUAUUAAGCAAUUUUUCUAACUCUGCUUCCACAAGAGUCUCCCUACCAAUUACUGAAUGCCCAUUGUGGUUUUUUCCUCAGUCACCAGGGAAGAACCAUCUACUGUCCUGUCCUGAAGGGAGUUCCUCCUAGAUCUGGUCGGACCUUUGUAUGGUCUUUAGACAAUCACUUAACUCUUUCAAUCAAUUGCCAAUUAGAAAAUUCUUGAAUCCACCUAUGACCUGGAGGCCCCUGCUUCAAGUUGUCCCAGCUUUCCAGACCAAACCAAUGUAGGUUGAUCGAUUGAUGUCUAUGUCUCCAUAAAAGGUAUGCAACCAAGCUGUAUCCUGACCACCUUGUGCACAUGUUCUCAGCAUCUCCUGGGUCACAGAAUAUUGAUGAGUCAUAUUCGGCUCACAAUAAAUCUCUUCAAAUGUUGUACAGAGUUUGACCCUUUUUGUUGACAGAUCAUUCUGUAAUAAAAGCAGCUUUCAAGUUA